Molecule: small RNA, 27 nt
Filed under: Bombyx mori (domestic silkworm)
Lineage: Eukaryota; Metazoa; Arthropoda; Insecta; Lepidoptera; Bombycidae
Description: ovarian small RNA-32158
Source: RNAcentral
UGAGAGUACGAGAUAAACGGUAGUAAG